This 1435-nucleotide ribosomal RNA is filed under the name uncultured organism. RNAcentral's name for it is "SSU rRNA". It matches the Rfam family "Bacterial small subunit ribosomal RNA". The record is from RNAcentral.
GCUUAACACAUGCAAGUCGAGGGGCAGCAUGGUCUUAGCUUGCUAAGGCCGAUGGCGACCGGCGCACGGGUGAGUAACACGUAUCCAACCUGCCGUCUACUCUUGGACAGCCUUCUGAAAGGAAGAUUAAUACAAGAUGGCAUCAUGAGUCCGCAUGUUCACAUGAUUAAAGGUAUUCCGGUAGACGAUGGGGAUGCGUUCCAUUAGAUAGUAGGCGGGGUAACGGCCCACCUAGUCUUCGAUGGAUAGGGGUUCUGAGAGGAAGGUCCCCCACAUUGGAACUGAGACACGGUCCAAACUCCUACGGGAGGCAGCAGUGAGGAAUAUUGGUCAAUGGGCGAGAGCCUGAACCAGCCAAGUAGCGUGAAGGAUGACUGCCCUAUGGGUUGUAAACUUCUUUUAUAAAGGAAUAAAGUCGGGUAUGGAUACCCGUUUGCAUGUACUUUAUGAAUAAGGAUCGGCUAACUCCGUGCCAGCAGCCGCGGUAAUACGGAGGAUCCGAGCGUUAUCCGGAUUUAUUGGGUUUAAAGGGAGCGUAGAUGGAUGUUUAAGUCAGUUGUGAAAGUUUGCGGCUCAACCGUAAAAUUGCAGUUGAUACUGGAUAUCUUGAGUGCAGUUGAGGCAGGCGGAAUUCGUGGUGUAGCGGUGAAAUGCUUAGAUAUCACGAAGAACUCCGAUUGCGAAGGCAGCCUGCUAAGCUGCAACUGACAUUGAGGCUCGAAAGUGUGGGUAUCAAACAGGAUUAGAUACCCUGGUAGUCCACACGGUAAACGAUGAAUACUCGCUGUUUGCGAUAUACUGCAAGCGGCCAAGCGAAAGCGUUAAGUAUUCCACCUGGGGAGUACGCCGGCAACGGUGAAACUCAAAGGAAUUGACGGGGGCCCGCACAAGCGGAGGAACAUGUGGUUUAAUUCGAUGAUACGCGAGGAACCUUACCCGGGCUUAAAUUGCAGAUGAAUUACGGUGAAAGCCGUAAGCCGCAAGGCAUCUGUGAAGGUGCUGCAUGGUUGUCGUCAGCUCGUGCCGUGAGGUGUCGGCUUAAGUGCCAUAACGAGCGCAACCCUUGUUGUCAGUUACUAACAGGUUCCGCUGAGGACUCUGACAAGACUGCCAUCGUAAGAUGUGAGGAAGGUGGGGAUGACGUCAAAUCAGCACGGCCCUUACGUCCGGGGCUACACACGUGUUACAAUGGGGGGUACAGAGGGCCGCUACCACGCGAGUGGAUGCCAAUCCCCAAAACCCCUCUCAGUUCGGACUGGAGUCUGCAACCCGACUCCACGAAGUUGGAUUCGCUAGUAAUCGCGCAUCAGCCACGGCGCGGUGAAUACGUUCCCGGGCCUUGUACACACCGCCCGUCAAGCCAUGGGAGCCGGGGGUACCUGAAGUGCGUAACCGCAAGGAGCGCCCUAGGGUAAAACUGGUGACUGGGGCUAAG